This 490-nucleotide ribosomal RNA is filed under the name uncultured bacterium. RNAcentral describes it as "partial 16S ribosomal RNA". It matches the Rfam family "Bacterial small subunit ribosomal RNA", at positions 30 to 507 of the family's 1533-position model. The record is from RNAcentral.
AUUGAACGCUGGCGGCAGGCCUAACACAUGCAAGUCGAACGGUAACAGAAAGCAGCUUGCUGCUUUGCUGACGAGUGGCGGACGGGUGAGUAAUGUCUGGGAAACUGCCUGAUGGAGGGGGAUAACUACUGGAAACGGUAGCUAAUACCGCAUAACGUCGCAAGACCAAAGAGGGGGACCUUCGGGCCUCUUGCCAUCGGAUGUGCCCAGAUGGGAUUAGCUAGUAGGUGGGGUAACGGCUCACCUAGGCGACGAUCCCUAGCUGGUCUGAGAGGAUGACCAGCCACACUGGAACUGAGACACGGUCCAGACUCCUACGGGAGGCAGCAGUGGGGAAUAUUGCACAAUGGGCGCAAGCCUGAUGCAGCCAUGCUGCGUGUAUGAAGAAGGCCUUCGGGUUGUAAAGUACUUUCAGCGGGGAGGAAGGGAGUAAAGUUAAUACCUUUGCUCAUUGACGUUACCCGCAGAAGAAGCACCGGCUAACUCCGUG